Molecule: long non-coding RNA, 242 nt
Filed under: Elaeis guineensis (African oil palm)
Lineage: Eukaryota; Viridiplantae; Streptophyta; Magnoliopsida; Arecales; Arecaceae
Description: long non-coding RNA (EGUI_LNC028262)
Source: RNAcentral
UUUGGAACCCCCUUGCUUAGAUAGCAUCAAACCUUGUCACUUAGGCAAGGGGCGGGGUUUCAAUUCCAAUUGAUGCUAUCCUCAAGAGAUGGGUUUUGGGUAGGAGGUGAGAUUUGAGUUAGAAAGAGGGUGAGCCUUGGAACAAUACCUAUAGAUCAUUAGUUUGAAAUAUAAACACAAUCUCUUUGUACUGGAGUAAGGCAACAUAUAUCUUAACCAUUCCAGACCUCACAGUGGCAGAA